RNAcentral lists this ribosomal RNA (253 nucleotides) under uncultured bacterium. Its description in RNAcentral is "partial 16S ribosomal RNA". It matches the Rfam family "Bacterial small subunit ribosomal RNA", at positions 524 to 776 of the family's 1533-position model. The record is from RNAcentral.
UACGUAGGGCGCAAGCGUUGUCCGGAAUUAUUGGGCGUAAAGAGCUCGUAGGCGGUUUGUCGCGUCUGCUGUGAAAACCUAAGGCUCAACCUUGGGCUUGCAGUGGGUACGGGCAGACUAGAGUGCGGUAGGGGUGACUGGAAUUCCUGGUGUAGCGGUGGAAUGCGCAGAUAUCAGGAGGAACACCGAUGGCGAAGGCAGGUCACUGGGCCGCAACUGACGCUGAGGAGCGGAAGCCAGGGGAGCAAACGGG